CUUAAAAAUGAAUAUAUGAAAAAUGAGUUGAGAGAAUGAAUUACCCAACCAUUAACCGGGUUCCAUACAGAUGCAGGGCAAUUAGAUCCAUUUGAGCAAGGGUUACACAAUAUUACAAGAAUGGGUGGUACUUGUAUAAAUAGCCCUCAAAAACAUAGGGUUUGAAUCAUUCAAAAGAACAUGUGAGGAUAUAGUGCCGCUUUUGGAUUGAGUUUGAAAUGCAAAUAAGAUGAUGACAUAGUGAUGCUUUCAGAUUGAAUUGGGAGAAAGAAACUUGUGAUCCCAUGGAAGGAUAACUUUAACGAAAUCUAGCCUGUGUCUAUCAUAUGAAGAUAUUUCUCACUGUAACCAAGUGGAAAGAAUAUGAGCACUGAACCUUAUUUUUGGUGGAAAAAUCUCCAAUAGUUGAAGAGGCAGAAUACCAAACAGAUGCAUGUCUUCUUGCUUACUAAACUUAUCACUAGUCAUAAUAUACUUCUCUUGUGAAUAUUCUUUUCACCUGCUCAAGAGUCAAAAACAUAAUGACAUUCCAAGAUCCCAGACGACCAAAAUUUGGGAGGAAGCCCUUAUAAAAGGCAGAAAACCCCUGCAGUGCAUAGUGGCUGCAAGUCACUACCAACAUAAUCAAGGUAGUGUUUCCAUUGGUUCUCAUAUAAUAUUAGACAUUGAUUCCCCUUCAAUCCACUAAGAACAGUUGAAUAAACAAAAAUUUUUAAGAAACUUGGGUUAAAAAGGAGUGAGAUUAAUAGGGAAAACAAAGUUAACCAUGGACAUGAUAAUUUGUAAUGAUAAAGCAGGUUAAACAACUUCCUAUACAGUUUCUGGAAUUACAGAAACAUCAAAGAGUUAGAAGUUCCCAAUAUCAGCUUUGAAUCUUCAACUGCUAUUUAAAUUAGUACAGCUAAAUGUCAGCAUAGCACACGGUAUGGAAGGAACCCAGAUGAAAACUUAGACCAAGUUAACAGUUAGCUACCUCAUUCUUCAGUGUCUUGAUGAAACAGUCAAGAGUGCUUUUGUACGAUGAGUCUCCCAUCAUUCUAGAUUUCACCUGGAACACAACAUGCACAGCAUCGAAUCCAGUAUUGACUGACUAUGUCACCACCAUUCAUCAAAAAGUCUAUAGAAUUGCAAAAUAUAAUCAAAAUGUAAAGAAUUUGUAACACAAACUCCAGUGACACAAUACAACCUUUGUUAUUCCUGUGCUGAAUUCUCUAGAUUAUGUGAGGGCAUGUCGGGUUUAUUUUGGAAAUGGAAUGAAAAUGGACAUGUCUAAAUUUCAAGAUCCUUAUUCCAAGUUUAUUUUGGAAAUAAUGAAAUGGAUGCUAUUUUAAUACAAGUUCAAACUAUUUAGAUGCAAAAAUAUCAUAAAUUAUUUUGGUUCCUUGUGAACCGAACAAAAAAAACAAUUCUAUUUCAAGAAUUGCAUUCCAUUCCUAUUUUCAAAGCAAACCAAACACUGCCAAAAUGUCAGAUAAACAUCAACGGUCACUCGUGAGUUCUGAAUAAAGUCAAUUGCAACAAUAGCAAAAUAUCUUACCAGCUUCAUUAUCAUUUCAAUACUAUGAUUAUUGUUUCAAUAACUUUUAGAACAAUGCCUAUUCAAUAGGCUUAUCACUAAAAAUGGUCUUAGCAAAAAGAAACAAAGCCCAUAGAAAAGUAGAAUUAUGGCUAUAAGCAAUGAUGAAGAUAAUGUUGACUUUUUUUUAGCUACUACUAUUUAUUGGCCAGAUUUACAAGCAAGUGGACAAAGGAAACUUACCACAUCAAUGGGAGAACCAAUACAGACUGCAAAAAACCCUGUUUCACUUGAUCAUAACUGGCUAGUUCAGCAGCAUUUAUAAUAGCAUUUCGUGCUAUGUUGGGUCCAAGUCCAGUCCACAAGGCACCUAGUCCUUCCUAAUUUAAAAAGAUUAAAGCAUAAAUAUACUAGGCCUAGAGGGAAAAAAGGCAAACCUUUAUAGUUUUUGCAAUUAAGUUACAAUAAUCCUUUUAAUUUAUUAAUUUUGGGCCUAUUUUAAAGGUUAGUUGUAAAUUUGCCCAAUGGUCAUACUUGAGUUAGGGGUGCUUACGUGGCAAUUGACGAUGAUGAAAAUAUUAAUUUUAAAUUGAGGAACCCACAUAAUUCAAUUAAAAUAUUAUUUUUGAAAAUUUUAGGUUGGGUCCCACAAUUUAAAAAAUAAUAUUAUUGUCCAAGUUGUAAGCUCCCUAGACUUCAAAUUUUCACCGUUGGACAUGGUUAUAACUAACCUCAGAAACUAUAACGAAAUUGCUACAAUUAAAAGGAUAGGACAUAAUUGCAAAAACAUGAAUUACUAGCAAUAAAAUGACUACUGCGUUGUAGGAAACUAGCCUGUCUCACUAUGGUAAAAUAAGCAUCCAAAGCUCCAGCAUAUCGCCUAGGCACACCACUUGGUGAUUUUCCUUCAGCUUGCAGCCGCACUUUAACAAGAUCAGUUGGAUUAGCAACUGCAAUUGCUAUAGCACCUGUUAUAAAAGCUGCAAGUAUCUUCUGGUAUAAAGGAAUAUCUCCAACAAAAUCACUGCCAACCAUAAAUGUUUUGACAGGUUCAUAUAAUCCAAUCCUUAAGCCUCCAUAAAUGAACUGACGAUGUAAUCCUGCAGUGAUGCCUUUCCAAAGUGCUGCUAAACCUUCUUCCCUAGCAAUAGUAGCUACCGUCCCCAGCAAACCCCUGUAUUUAGGUAUUGAUCCAUCCCCAGUAGAAGUUUUCCGUUGGAGCUGAAGCCUAACUUUGGCAGUGUCUAAAGGAAUGGUACAGAACUCGGCAAAACAAGCAGCGAAGGCACUGCAGAGAAAGACUUCAGCGAAGGAAAUCUCAGAUUUAGGCUUGAGAUCUGACAUGAGGAGAGAAGAAGGGCACUGGACAAUAAUAAGAGCGAGAGAGAGAGAAAGGAUUCAGGGUAUUAAAAACAGAGCAGUGGAGUGAUCAUGAAGAAGAGGGGCAUGAAAAAAAACAGGUUUCUGUUGGCUAAUGGAGAGCCAUUGAAGGUUGAGUGAAGCUAGCCGAGUUUUUCAGUUAUUGCUGGCCUUCUAUUGCUCAUUUUAU
Molecule: unclassified non-coding RNA, 3065 nt
Filed under: Hevea brasiliensis (rubber tree)
Lineage: Eukaryota; Viridiplantae; Streptophyta; Magnoliopsida; Malpighiales; Euphorbiaceae
Source: RNAcentral